CCGAGAAUUUUUCACAAUGGGCGCAAGCCUGAUGGAGCGACGCCGCGUGGGGGAUGAAGGGUUUCGAUCCGUAAACCCCUGUCAUUUGCGAACAAACCUUGAUCGUGAAUAGCGAUCGAGCUGAUUGUAGCGGAAGAGGAAGGGACGGCUAACUCUGUGCCAGCAGCCGCGGUAAUACAGAGGUCCCAAGCGUUGUUCGGAUUCACUGGGCGUAAAGGGUGCGUAGGUGGUCGGUGAAGUUCGGUGUGAAAGCUCGGAGCUCAACUCCGAAACGGCAUUGAAAACUCAUCGGCUGGAGGGUCGGAGGGGAGACUGGAAUUCUCGGUGUAGCAGUGAGAUGCGUAGAUAUCGAGAGGAACACCAGUGGCGAAGGCGAGUCUCUGGACGACUCCUGACACUGAGGCACGAAAGCCAGGGGAGCAAACAG
RNAcentral lists this ribosomal RNA (427 nucleotides) under uncultured bacterium. Its description in RNAcentral is "bacterial SSU rRNA". It matches the Rfam family "Bacterial small subunit ribosomal RNA", at positions 355 to 775 of the family's 1533-position model. The record is from RNAcentral.